GUCCACGCCCUAACGAUGAUGACUAGUUGUUGGAGGAGUUAAAUCCUUUAGUAACGCAGCUAACGCGAGAAGUCAUCCGCCUGGGAGUACGGUCGCAAGAUUAAACUCAAAGGAAUUGACGGGCCCGCACAAGCGGUGGAUGAUGUGGUUCAAUUCGACGCAACGCGAAAACCUUACCUACCCUUGACAUGUACGGAAUCCUGCAGAGAUGCAGGAGUGCCCGAAAGGGAGCCGUAACACAGGUGCUGCAUGGCUGUCGU
RNAcentral lists this ribosomal RNA (260 nucleotides) under uncultured bacterium. RNAcentral's name for it is "partial 16S ribosomal RNA". It matches the Rfam family "Bacterial small subunit ribosomal RNA", at positions 793 to 1055 of the family's 1533-position model. The record is from RNAcentral.